GUUCGGUGUCAAGAUUUAUAAUUUUUCAUCGCCUGUACAAGAGUUUCGUUAGGAAGCAAAGGGGAGGAGAGGUGCUCCGCGAUGAAUGGCGGGCCUAGUCCUUUGAAUUUGAAAGAGUGCCUAGGCGAUUUGCAAAGAUUUCUCUUUGAAGUUAGGAUGAAUUGACACUGUUGCUUUGCUCUCACGCACUCAAUGAAGCUCUUUCCCCCUGUUCUCCGACGAUUGAUGAAGGUCGGUUCCAGAAUCUGUCCUUGCACUUGCUGGUUGGGAAAUAAAAGGCAGCUUCGGAUUAUGAUCUCAACUAUUAUCACAGCCUUGCCUUGGGCCUUGGAGCUACUACUCUCUUGUAGCAUGGAACAAUACGAGGUUACAUAUUACACAGUUGGUUAGAGACAUUUCUGCCAAACUGAAGCUAGCGAGUGAAACAAAUCUGCACACUGACUGCCUAAGCCAUUACGGAUCCGAAGGAAGUAGUUCAAGCUCCUCAAUAUUCUCUCUGAUUCAUAUGGAGGACACAGAAGCAGCCUGGAAUAAAGCAGAGAACUAUGUGAAUAAAUUCUGAAUGUUUAUGUUAGUUUUUAAGUGUUUGUGUUUUGAAUAAAUAUGAUUUAUGUAGGUGGUCUGUUUUAAUACUUUGUCUGUGUGGAGACAAUCUUAAGUUUGAUGAGUUUCAGCUACAAUAGAGCAUAAAGCUAUCAAUAGUUUUGGAUCUUGAAGGAUAUUGCUAAGUUUGAAAAUUUGAUGGUUAAAAUUAUAAAAAUUCAUUUAUUGUAA
Zingiber officinale is the source of this 774-nucleotide long non-coding RNA. RefSeq lists it as uncharacterized. The record is from RefSeq and is a predicted model, not a curated record. Lineage: Eukaryota; Viridiplantae; Streptophyta; Magnoliopsida; Zingiberales; Zingiberaceae. The transcript has 3 exons.